Molecule: RNA transcript, 5376 nt
Organism: Girardinichthys multiradiatus
Lineage: Eukaryota; Metazoa; Chordata; Actinopteri; Cyprinodontiformes; Goodeidae
Gene name: rho-associated protein kinase 2-like
Exons: 34
Source: RefSeq, a predicted model, not a curated record
AUACCCUGGUGGUGCCUUGUGAUUUUGGUGCAACUACCUGGCUUAAAUCUGACGAGGCGCAUGUGGCACCAAAGUGUCCGUCUCUUGACUUCCAGACAUCGGUUUUCCCUUUUUUGUGAUUUAUUAAUGAGAAAAAAGGAAGUCGGGAGGUUUUUAUUUUUCAGUGGAUGAAUAAUUAACCUGACAACUCAAGCCCUUGUGUACAGAGCAGCAAUGAUAUGAGGAGCUGAGCCAAGGCGAGGAGUGCGCCUCCACCACGGCUGGAGAAACUUUAAAAAAAAAACAAAAAAACUGACCUGUAGGUGUUUUGUUUUAGCUUGUCUUUAAUAAUUUUGUGACAUUUGACUUGGACAAACUCCACAGUAAUCAUGCUGGGAGCGGAAAGCAGAGUGGAAAGCCGGCUGAAGAAGCUGGAGUCCAUGGUCAGGAAUCCACAGUCGGCGCUUAAUUUUUCAGCUCUGCUGGAUUCCAUGAAUGCAUUGGCUCAUGAUCUAAAUUACCCUAUCCUGCGAAAGAACAAGAACAUUGAGGCAUUUCUGAACAGAUAUGAGAAGCUGGUGAAUGAGCUGCGAGAGCUCCAGGUAAAGAUUGACGACUUUGAAAAAGUGAAGUUGAUCGGGAGAGGAGCCUACGGCGAAGUGCAGCUGGUCCGUCACAAGGCCUCGAGGAAGGUUUACGCCAUGAAGCAGCUCAGCAAGUUUGAGAUGAUCAAAAGGUCGGAGUCAGCCUUCUUCUGGGAGGAGAGACACAUUAUGGCGUUUUCCAACAGUCCUUGGAUUGUUCAGCUUUGCUGCGCUUUCCAAGAUGAUCAGCACCUCUACAUGGUGAUGGAAUUCAUGCCUGGAGGAGAUUUGGUCACGCUCACCAUAAACUACGACAUCCCUGAAAAGUGGGCUCGCUUCUACACGGCCGAGGUGGUGCUGGCACUGGAUGCCAUCCACUCCAUGGGCUUCAUCCACCGCGACGUUAAACCGGACAACAUGCUACUGGACCAGCACGGACACCUCAAACUAGCCGACUUCGGCACGUGCAUGAGGAUGGACUCGAGCGGUAUGGUGCACUGUGAGACAGCUGUAGGCACACCAGACUACAUUUCCCCCGAGGUGCUGCAGUCUCAGGGUGGCGAUGGAACCUACGGUCGAGAAUGUGACUGGUGGUCUGUUGGAGUUUUUCUCUAUGAGUUGCUAGUUGGUGAAACUCCGUUUUAUGCCGAGUCUCUCAUUGGAACCUAUGGGAAGAUCAUGAACUACCAUAACUCUCUCGUCUUUCCGGACGAUAUGGAGAUGUCUCAGGAUGCCAAAGAUCUCAUCAGUGACUUUCUCACUGACAGGAAGGUUCGACUAGGCCGCACCGGAGUGGAUGAGAUCAAACGUCACCCCUUCUUCAAGAACGACCAGUGGACCUUUGACAACAUCCGUGACACUGUAGCCCCAGUGGUUCCAGAGCUGCACAGUGACAUAGACACCAGUAACUUUGAUGAUAUAGAGGUGGAAAAGGGAAAUGCAGAGACGUUUCCUCCUCCCAGAUCAUUUGCGGGCAACCAUCUACCAUUUAUUGGCUUCACUUAUUUCAAGGAGGACCAGCUGCUGAGCAGAACAAGUGGCAGAGCUGAGGAGGAAUCAGACGAAAAUUGUAAGGAUAAAGAAAAGUCUCUUAGCAUCAAGAAAGAGCUGCUGAGAAAGGUUAACCAGCUGGAGGAGCAGCUCAAUCAUGAGAUGCAGGCCAAAGAUGAAAUGGAGCAAAAGUGCAAAAGUGCCACCAUUCGUUUAGACAAGCUGGUCAAAGAAUUGGAUAAGGAGAUGAACAGUCGACUGACCGUUGAAGCCUCACUGAGGCAGCUGGAACGAGAGCAAGCUCUGCUGCAGCACCAAAGUGCAGAGAACCUCCGCAAGGUAGAGAUGGAAGCAGACAGGAAGCGCGUCCUGGAAAACGAAUUGAACAACUUAAGGGACCAGCUGGAAGACCUGAAGAAGAGGAACCAACACUCACAACUAUCUAAUGAGAAGAACAUCCAGCUGCAAAAACAACUUGAGGAGGCCAACAGUGCUCUGCAGGCCGAGCAGCAGGCAACGGCUCGGCUGAAGAAAAGCCAGGCGGAGGCGCAAAAACAAGCCCAGAGCCUCGAAGUCAGCCUAAGGGAGAUGGAGAAAAAGUGCAGCGGACUGGAAGUGAGCAAGGCGGAGCAGGAGAAGCAGAUGAGGGGGCUGCAAGUCAAGCUGGAGGAGGAGAGAAGAGAAUGCAACCUCAAGACAGAGACCCUCGCUGACCUGCAGGGAACCGUUUCAGUCCUAGAGGACGAAGUGAAGGAGGUGAAGUUGUCUCUUUCCAAGGUCAAAAGUGAAAAGAACGAGCUGCAGACAAAGCUAAAUAAUCUUGGAAAGGAAAAGAACAACCAAGAGAUUGACCUAACAUUCCAGCUCAAGUCACUCCAGCAGAGUCUGGAGCAGGAGGAGGCAGAGCACAAGGCCACCAAAGCAAAGAUCGCAGAUAAAAACAAAAUCUACCAGUCUAUUGAGGAGGCCAAAUCCGAGGCCCUAAAAGAGAUGGAAAGCACUCUGCAGGAGGAGCACAGCCUGAAGCUGCAGGUGGAAGAUAAGCUACUGCAACUAAAGAAGGAGUUCUUCAUGGUAGACUGCAAUCACAAGCAAGCGCAGCAAAAGCUGAACGAGUUGCAGACACAAAAGGAGAAACUUUCUGAAGAGGUGAUGGACCUCACGCUACGCCUGGAACAGGAGAUCCAAAAGCGAAGUUUGAGCCAGACCGAUCUGAAAGCACAGAAACAGCAGGUGUCUGCGCUCGCCUCCUCAGAGAAACAGCUCAAACAGGAACUCAACCAACUGCUGGACAUGAAGCAGAGCCUGGAGAAGCAGAACCAGGAGCUAAGCAGGGAAAAGCAAGAGGCUGAUGGCCAGCUGAAGGAACUGAUGGACCAGCUGGAGGCAGAGCAGUAUUUCACAACCCUUUACAAGACACAGAUCCAGGAGCUGAAGGUUGAAACUGAUGAGAAGAAUAAGAUGUUAAAAGAGGCACAGGAGCGACUGGCAGAAUACCAGGAGGAAAGGGAUUCUCUGGCAGCGCAGCUGGAAAGCAGUUUAACCAAAGCGGAUUCUGAGGAACUGGCUCGCUCUAUCGCCGAAGAGCAGUACUCGCUUCUGGAGAAGGAGAAGAUCAUUAAGGAGCUGGAGAUAAAGGACAUGAUGGCGAGACACAAACAGGAGCUCAGUGAUAAGGAGGCCACCAUCGGCUCGCUGGAGGAGUCCAACCGCACACUGACAGUGGACGUUGCCAACCUGGCCAGUGAGAAAGAAGAGCUCAACAACCAGCUGAAAGAGCUGCAGCAAGAACUCCAAAAAGUCAAAGAGCUAGAGAAGGAGAUGAAAAGUCUACAAGCAUUGUAUGAAAAGCAAGUACAAACUGAAAAGACUUUGAAGAUUCAGGCUAUAAACAAGCUGGCCGAGGUGAUGAACAAGAAGAAGGAGAUGGGGCGAGGGGUCGUCCGGGGUGUCGACUCCGAGGUGCACAAGAAGGAGAAGGAGAACAGGAAGCUGCAGCUGGAGCUGAAAGCAGAGAGGCAAAACCUUAACAGCAUCAUCAUCAAAUACCAGAAGGAACUGGAUGACAUGCAGGCGAUGAUGGUUGAGGAGAAUCACCUGCGUCAGGAGCUGCAGAUGGCUCUUGACAGUAAAGACAGCGACAUCGAGCAGCUUCGGUGUCAGCUCACCUCCCUUAGUGUUCACUCCCUGGACACCACCAGCAUCAACAGUGCCAACGAUUUGGAAAUUGCUGAUGGAUUCCCAGUGCGCAUUACUCACUCUCGCACCUCUGAGUCAAUGUCCUUCACCUACAAGCGCACGCAGAAAUCUUUCCGCAUUGAUACUCGGCCCAACCUUCGCUCAGCGAGGGCUCUGUUUGACUCAGAGUCUGAGGAUGAGGAAGAAGACGACCAGCCUGAGGAGCAGAGCCAGCGCCCUCUGGCUCUGACCUAUCCGCAGUCCUCUGAGCUUGAACCUGGAGAUCCCAGACUGGAAGGCUGGAUCUCACUUCCUUCCAAGAACACAAAGCGAUUUGGCUGGGACAAAAAAUACGUGGUUGUAAGCAGUAAGAAAAUCCUGUUUUACAACAGUGAGAUGGACAGAGAACAAGCCAACCCGUUCAUGACCCUGGACAUCGAAAAGCUGUUCCAUGUCCGACCCAUCACUCAAACUGAUUGUUACCGAGCAGAUGUCAAAGAAAUCCCUAGAAUAUUCCAGAUCUUGUAUGCCAAUGAGGGCGAGAGCAAACGUGACCAGGAGGCCGUGGUGGAGUCCGCGCCCAACGAACGCCCCUCUUACAUCAGCCACAAGGGCCACGAGCUCAUCAUCACCCUGUACCACUUCCCCUCCAGCUGUGAGGUCUGCACGCGGCCCCUGUGGAAUGUCUUCAAGCCUCCGACGGCCCUUGAAUGCCGCUGCUGCCAUACCAAGUACCACAAAGACCACCUGGACAAGAAAGAGGAAAUUAUUGCACCCUGCAAAGUGAACUACGAUAUGUCCACCGCCAAAGAGCUGCUCCUGCUGACCGGCUCCCAGACAGAACAGCAGCGUUGGGUCAGUCACCUCCUCAAGCGUAUCCCGAGAAAAAACCCAACACUAAGUCCUCCACCUGUAGCACCAAACAGCCCCAACGACUCUCCACCACAUUCUUCUCCACGUGUGUCUCCACUGCCUUCCCCCAGGACCUCUCCUCGCCUGUCCCACCGUCGUGCCAUCAAGAUCCAGUCCACCAGACUGCAGCAGUCGUCAGAGAAGUCCAGUCCUGGCCCUAUGCUCCGUAUCAUCCUCCACUGACCCCUGAACUCUUCACCUCUGACCCUACAUUUCUAAAAUUUCUUACACUUGGACACUUUAACCCCGGCUGUGUUUUCAUCCAAGUGGAUUGUCUGGACCCAGUUGCCUGCACGUAAAAAGCACAAAAAAAAGGAAAAAGAAAAGCAAAAUACAUGACAGAGAUUCUGAAAAACUGGCUGUUGUCAUGAGAACUGAGAUGGUUUUUGUCAUUUUUCACAAGAGGAAACUCAACCAUAUCUUCAUAAUGAGACUUUUUAUAUUCAGGAUUGGACUCAUUCAGAAUCAUUUGUGAAACGGUCCACUUCGUUGUGAACACUAAAAGCACAGCUGAUAUUAUAUUUUUAUGCGUAUUAUAUCGCCACAUUAUACAGGGUGUCCUGUAAAUGUGUGAAUAGAGUUUUAGAGAGAGAGAGUUUACCCUUUUUGAGCCUUGAUGUUUUGGACUAGUUUUGUCACUAUAAAUAUAGCCAUCACAGCAUUACAGGAUAAUGUGAAAUGUAUUUCUUCUUGCAGUUCAUUAUUUGGGACAUUAAAAAAAACAUACAAAACA